This 248-nucleotide ribosomal RNA is filed under the name uncultured bacterium. RNAcentral describes it as "partial 16S ribosomal RNA". It matches the Rfam family "Bacterial small subunit ribosomal RNA", at positions 109 to 353 of the family's 1533-position model. The record is from RNAcentral.
AGUAACACGUGAGCAACCUGCCUUUCAGUGGGGGACAACAUUUGGAAACGAAUGCUAAUACCGCAUAAGACCACAGUGUCGCAUGGCACAGGGGUCAAAGGAUUUAUCCGCUGAAAGAUGGGCUCGCGUCCGAUUAGCUAGAUGGUGAGGUAACGGCCCACCAUGGCGACGAUCGGUAGCCGGACUGAGAGGUUGAACGGCCACAUUGGGACUGAGACACGGUCCAGACUCCUACGGGAGGCAGCAUG